GACGUAGGGCGCGAGCGUUGUCCGGAUUUAUUGGGCGUAAAGAGCUCGUAGGCGGCUUGUUGCGUCAGCUGUGAAAACCCGCAGCUCAACUGUGGGCUUGCAGCUGAUACGGGCAGGCUUGAGUUCGGUAGGGGAGACUGGAAUUCCUGGUGUAGCGGUGAAAUGCGCAGAUAUCAGGAAGAACACCCGUGGCGAAGGCGGCUUUCUGGGACGGUACUGACGCUGAGACGCGAAAGCGUGGGGAGCGAACAGG
This 253-nucleotide ribosomal RNA is filed under the name uncultured bacterium. RNAcentral describes it as "partial 16S ribosomal RNA". It matches the Rfam family "Bacterial small subunit ribosomal RNA", at positions 524 to 776 of the family's 1533-position model. The record is from RNAcentral.